This 173-nucleotide small nuclear RNA is filed under the name Gopherus evgoodei (Goodes thornscrub tortoise). RNAcentral describes it as "U2 spliceosomal RNA (ENSGEVG00005008399.1)". It matches the Rfam family "U2 spliceosomal RNA". From Rfam's summary of the family: U2 is a small nuclear RNA (snRNA) component of the spliceosome (involved in pre-mRNA splicing). Complementary binding between U2 snRNA (in an area lying towards the 5' end but 3' to hairpin I) and the branchpoint sequence (BPS) of the intron results the bulging out of an unpaired adenosine, on the BPS, which initiates a nucleophilic attack at the intronic 5' splice site, thus starting the first of two transesterification reactions that mediate splicing. Lineage: Eukaryota; Metazoa; Chordata; Testudines; Testudinidae. The record is from Rfam by way of RNAcentral.
AAACAUUAUCUAAAAGUUGUAUCUGUUCUUAUCAGUUUAAUAUCUGAUAUGUCCUUUAUUUGAGGACUGUAUAUUAAAUUGAUUUUUGAAACAGGGGGCUGGAAUAGGAGCUUGAUCUCUCCACCCCAUGCAUUGACCUGAUAUUGCAGUGACUCCAGGACCGGGCUUUUAAA